GGCCUGUGCAAUCUGGCUGUGACAUGAUUGAUUGCCAGCAUUGAUUUGGUGGAUCUGGCUGGCUAGGUGGGUGUGCCCAUCCUCCCUCAGCGUUCCAUGUAUGAUUCUCCCUAAGCUGUAUGCUUAGUUGAAAAGGACUGAAGAGAAUGACCAUCCCUGCUAGAGGAGGAUGGUUCUUUGGUCAAGGGCAUAUGAGUAGCUGUGCUCCCCUUCUAGAAACUCCAAACAUGCUUUUGAGCAAUGGCCUGUGUGUGCAACUAAGUAACAUCUUCAGUCUUCAUUCUUCUAAAAGGUUUUGCUUU
This 302-nucleotide small nuclear RNA is filed under the name Carlito syrichta (Philippine tarsier). Its description in RNAcentral is "7SK RNA (ENSTSYG00000024334.2)". It matches the Rfam family "7SK RNA". Rfam says of the family: 7SK was discovered as an abundant small nuclear RNA in the mid-70s but a possible function has only recently been suggested. The record is from RNAcentral. Lineage: Eukaryota; Metazoa; Chordata; Mammalia; Primates; Tarsiidae.